Molecule: ribosomal RNA, 552 nt
Filed under: uncultured bacterium
Lineage: Bacteria
Description: bacterial SSU rRNA
Rfam family: Bacterial small subunit ribosomal RNA
Source: RNAcentral
UGAGGAAUAUUGCGCAAUGGGCGAAAGCCUGACGCAGCAACGCCGCGUGGGGGAUGAAGCUUUAUGGAGUGUAAACCCCUGUAAGUAGGGACGAAAGUUACCUAUUCGAAUAGGAUGGGUAUUUGACGGUACCUACAGAGUAAGCUCCGGCCAACUCCGUGCCAGCAGCCGCGGUAAUACGGGGGGAGCAAGCGUUGUCCGGAAUUACUGGGCGUAAAGGGCGUGUAGGCGGUAUUGUAAGUCAGAUGUAAAAGGCUACGGCUUAACCGUAGAUUGUCAUUUGAAACUGCAGUACUUGAGUGCGAGAGAGGGUAGUGGAAUUCCCAGUGUAGCGGUGAAAUGCGUAGAUAUUGGGAAGAACACCAGUAGCGAAGGCGGCUACCUGGCUCGUAACUGACGCUAAUGCGCGAAAGCGUGGGGAGCGAACAGGAUUAGAUACCCUGGUAGUCCACGCUGUAAACGAUGAACACUAGGUGUUGGUCCCGACGUGUCGGGAUCGGUGCCGCAGCAAACGCAUUAAGUGUUCCGCCUGGGGAGUACGAUCGCAAGGUG